Molecule: ribosomal RNA, 254 nt
Filed under: Vibrio parahaemolyticus
Lineage: Bacteria; Pseudomonadati; Pseudomonadota; Gammaproteobacteria; Vibrionales; Vibrionaceae
Description: partial 16S ribosomal RNA
Rfam family: Bacterial small subunit ribosomal RNA
Source: RNAcentral
AAUCCCAAAAAGUGCGUCGUAGUCCGGAUUGGAGUCUGCAACUCGACUCCAUGAAGUCGGAAUCGCUAGUAAUCGUGGAUCAGAAUGCCACGGUGAAUACGUUCCCGGGCCUUGUACACACCGCCCGUCACACCAUGGGAGUGGGCUGCAAAAGAAGUAGGUAGUUUAACCUUCGGGGGGACGCUUACCACUUUGUGGUUCAUGACUGGGGUGAAGUCGUAACAAGGUAGCGCUAGGGGAACCUGGCGCUGGAU